GGGGAAUCUUAGACAAUGGGGGAAACCCUGAUCUAGCCAUGCCGCGUGAGUGAUGAAGGCCUUAGGGUUGUAAAGCUCUUUCAGCUGGGAAGAUAAUGACGGUACCAGCAGAAAAAGCCCCGGCUAACUCCGUGCCAGCAGCCGCGGUAAUACGGAGGGGGCUAGCGUUGUUCGGAAUUACUGGGCGUAAAGCGCACGUAGGCGGACCGGAAAGUUGGAGGUGAAAUCCCAGGGCUCAACCUUAGAACUGCCUUCAAAACUAUCGGUCUGGAGUUCGAGAGAGGUGAGUGGAAUUCCGAGUGUAGAGGUGAAAUUCGUAGAUAUUCGGAGGAACACCAGUGGCGAAGGCGGCUCACUGGCUCGAUACUGACGCUGAGGUGCGAAAGCGUGGGGAGCAAAC
RNAcentral lists this ribosomal RNA (400 nucleotides) under uncultured bacterium. RNAcentral describes it as "bacterial SSU rRNA". It matches the Rfam family "Bacterial small subunit ribosomal RNA", at positions 356 to 773 of the family's 1533-position model. The record is from RNAcentral.